RNAcentral lists this small nuclear RNA (28 nucleotides) under Arabidopsis thaliana (thale cress). Its description in RNAcentral is "snRNA_17200". The record is from RNAcentral. Lineage: Eukaryota; Viridiplantae; Streptophyta; Magnoliopsida; Brassicales; Brassicaceae.
GCUGAUUACAUCCAUCCCUCGUUGCCAA